RNAcentral lists this ribosomal RNA (466 nucleotides) under uncultured bacterium. Its description in RNAcentral is "partial 16S ribosomal RNA". It matches the Rfam family "Bacterial small subunit ribosomal RNA", at positions 28 to 507 of the family's 1533-position model. The record is from RNAcentral.
GACGAACGCUGGCGGCGUGCUUAACACAUGCAAGUCGAACGGAAAGGCCCAGCUUGCUGGGUACUCGAGUGGCGAACUGGUGAGUAACACGUGGGUGAUCUGCCCUGCACUCUGGGAUAAGCCUGGGAAACUGGGUCUAAUACCGGAUAUGACCAACUGUCGCAUGGUGGUUGGUGGAAAGCUUUUGCGGUGUGGGAUGGGCCCGCGGCCUAUCAGCUUGUUGGUGGGGUAAUGGCCUACCAAGGCGACGACGGGUAGCCGACCUGAGAGGGUGAUCGGCCACACUGGGACUGAGACACGGCCCAGACUCCUACGGGAGGCAGCAGUGGGGAAUAUUGCACAAUGGGCGCAAGCCUGAUGCAGCGACGCCGCGUGAGGGAUGACGGCCUUCGGGUUGUAAACCUCUUUCACCAGGGACGAAGCGUGAGUGACGGUACCUGGAGAAGAAGCACCGGCCAACUACGUG